This 233-nucleotide ribosomal RNA is filed under the name uncultured bacterium. Its description in RNAcentral is "partial 16S ribosomal RNA". It matches the Rfam family "Bacterial small subunit ribosomal RNA", at positions 118 to 351 of the family's 1533-position model. The record is from RNAcentral.
UGAGCAAUCUGCCCUUCUCAUCGGAAUAAGCGUUGGAAACGACGUCUAAUGCCGAAUACGACCUCCUUUCGCAUGAUCGGAGGUGGAAAGCUCCGGCGGAGAAGGAUGAGCUCGCGGCCUAUCAGCUAGUUGGUGUGGGUAAUGGCCCACCAAGGCGACGACGGGUAGCCGGCCUGGGAGGGUGACCGGCCACACUGGGACUGAGACACGGCCCAGACUCCUACGGGAGGNAG